Molecule: microRNA precursor, 149 nt
Organism: Nomascus leucogenys (northern white-cheeked gibbon)
Lineage: Eukaryota; Metazoa; Chordata; Mammalia; Primates; Hylobatidae
Source: Ensembl
CAGAUGGCUCCGAAGUUUGCAUCCCAUUAGGCUGGUGCAAAAGUAAUGGCGGAUUUUGCCAUUAAAAGUAAUGGCAAAAAUAGCAAUUAUCUUUGUAACAUCCUAGUAUCUUUUCUCUUUCUACCAAACUUUGUCCCUGAACCAUCUCA